UGGAUCAAUGAUGACCACUGGUGGCGCAUAAGUCAAAAAUGAUGACUGCAGGUCUGGAAGUCUGAGGUCCAA
Molecule: small nucleolar RNA, 72 nt
Organism: Sciurus vulgaris (Eurasian red squirrel)
Lineage: Eukaryota; Metazoa; Chordata; Mammalia; Rodentia; Sciuridae
Source: Ensembl